AAUACGUACGCAGAAAAAGCAUCCCCGAGCGAACAUUCUCGAAAAAGUGACUUGCGACAACGCGAAAAGGUCAUCAAACGUACUGCGUAUCACGAACGAGCACGAUUUCGAUACAGUCACUCUUGUCACAAGACGAUUUGUUAUCACAUUCAGUACUCUCACCAUCCGCGCACAAUAUGAAAUACACGGGAGCACAGUAAUGGCGGAAUGUGCGACUGCAGCGACUACCGGCGGCGCUAGCGCUAGCACAAAGAGGGCAGUGACGGCGUACUGCGUAGGCCGUAAUGGCGUAGUACUCGUAGUAGUGGCCGGCCGGCCGGCCGGCGGCGCCUGCGUGGCGGCGAUCGUUGCCGAGCGCCGGCGAAGGUGACCGAGCGGCCGAGCCGGCGCCGCUGCCGCUGCCGCUACGGCAGUUACUAUUACUAUCACCUUGUUUACUAGCGCCACGAUAGUCGGACGUUACGACAUAGCUCCUACAGUGCUUCCUGUGUUUUUCGAAUUGUGUGUGGAUGGUGAGUGUUGAUCGGAUGUUAAUAAUCGUCUUGUGACAAAAGUGACUGUAUCGUGUACGUAGAAAUCGUGCUCCUUCGUGAUACGCAGUACAUUAGAUAACCUUGUCGUGUUGCCGCAAGUCACGGUUUCGAGAAUAGCCGCUCGAGGUUUUCUCUGCAUACGUAGAUUCGUUCUUAUCUUCGCAUUGUAAUAUAUCGUGUUAAUGAUGCGUGAGUAGACGUCGAUCGAUAUUUGUUCAUUCAAUAGAUACAAAAGCCUGGUCGUCUAAUCUUGUCACCGUUCAGGUAUCUCACUCGGCGUGCGUGAUAUCAAGUGCCGGCUGUUCUUCUUCCUCCAGUAUCGUUACUUGCUUCUAAUGCUUCUGAUCGGGCGUUCCACGUUUUUCGAGUGUAAAUUGUGCACGGAUACGGUGUCUAAAAUGACGAAUUUAGUAACGAACGAUCGUCUCGACUCUCAACACGUAAGCAUAACGUCGAAAUAAUCGUAUUUGUGGCAUGCUUCUUCACACGACCUGUUGCGUUGUUACUUUCUCGCACGUUUCUCUUUUCAUUCGCGUUCGUGUUCGUAUGUGAUAUUUAAACAAUAUCGGGUAUGUCAAAGAAUCGGGUGUUGUAAUUCAAGAAGAGCAGCAGAGAUAUCAGCAGAAGAUGACAGCCGUGGAGUAACUCGGGUCAACGUGGUGUUUCAACUAUGCUGAUGCACAUCGUGUCGUAAGCGUGCCAGUCUUGUCGGUAAACAGAUACUCAACCUGGCCAAGUUCUUCGUUCAAGUCUGAUGAAUUGGCAAUUGCUGGUUGAUCGUUUUUCUUAUCGUACAUGUCCAAGUCCCAGCCGAUGAAAAAGGAGCCGAGAAACUUUUGCAGUUCUGUUAACACAAAUACAUUUGCUGAAUAGAAAUAAAAAUAAUUUUAACAGUCAAACAGAAGGAAACUGUGAAGUAGGAUUGUCUUACCAGCGGUGGAGUACAAUGAUAUCGGCACGAUAUAAUUGAAUAAGAUAAGGAAGUUUAGAA
This is a long non-coding RNA of Solenopsis invicta (red fire ant), 1524 nucleotides long. RefSeq lists it as uncharacterized. The record is from RefSeq and is a predicted model, not a curated record. The transcript is spliced from 4 exons. NCBI's taxonomy places the organism in Eukaryota, Metazoa, Arthropoda, Insecta, Hymenoptera, Formicidae.